UCAAACUUGGUCAUUUAGAGGAAGUAAAAGUCGUAACAAGGUUUCCGUAGGUGAACCUGCGGAAGGAUCACAUUAAAAAAUUUGCCAUAGACAUUUUGUGUCAAAGGCCCACACCGUGUGCACUUAUAAUUGUAUUUUUUGGCAGGGGCAUGGGUCUUUUUUUUGAACCAACUUUUCCUUUGGCUCCACCCCUUUUUUCGGGGCAGCCAGACAUGAAAAGUAGUACCCUGCCAAGUGACACAUAAACACGCUUAUUUGUCUGAAACAUUUUUUUUUUUUUUUGCGAUAUAACGCAUAAUAAAAAAUAACUUUCAACAACGGAUCUCUUGGCUCUCGCAUCGAUGAAGAACGCAGC
RNAcentral lists this unclassified non-coding RNA (355 nucleotides) under uncultured fungus. Its description in RNAcentral is "partial contains small subunit ribosomal RNA, internal transcribed spacer 1, and 5.8S ribosomal RNA". The stretch from base 1 to 73 matches the Rfam family "Eukaryotic small subunit ribosomal RNA", at positions 1759 to 1831 of the family's 1831-position model. The record is from RNAcentral. Lineage: Eukaryota; Fungi.